GCAUUCGUGGUGUAGUGGUCAGCACGCUGGGUGCGUAUUCCAGAGGUCCGUGGUUUGAAUCCCGGCGAAGGCG
RNAcentral lists this transfer RNA (73 nucleotides) under Stegodyphus mimosarum. It matches the Rfam family "tRNA". From Rfam's summary of the family: Transfer RNA (tRNA) molecules are approximately 80 nucleotides in length. Their secondary structure includes four short double-helical elements and three loops (D, anti-codon, and T loops). The record is from Rfam by way of RNAcentral. Lineage: Eukaryota; Metazoa; Arthropoda; Arachnida; Araneae; Eresidae.